GACGAACGCUGGCGGCGUGCUUAACACAUGCAAGUCGAACGGAAAGGCCCGCUUGCGGGUACUCGAGUGGCGAACGGGUGAGUAACACGUGGGCAACCUGCCCUCAGCUUCGGGAUACCACUUGGAACAGGUGCUAAUACCGGAUAAUAACCUUUCAUCGCAUGGUGGUGGGUUCAAAGUUUUUUCGGCUGAGGAUGGGCCCGCGGCCUAUCAGCUUGUUGGUGGGGUAAUGGCCUACCAAGGCGACGACGGGUAGCCGGCCUGAGAGGGCGACCGGCCACACUGGGACUGAGACACGGCCCAGACUCCUACGGGAGGCAGCAGUGGGGAAUAUUGCGCAAUGGGCGGAAGCCUGACGCAGCGACGCCGCGUGAGGGAUGACGGCC
This 386-nucleotide ribosomal RNA is filed under the name uncultured bacterium. RNAcentral's name for it is "bacterial SSU rRNA". It matches the Rfam family "Bacterial small subunit ribosomal RNA", at positions 28 to 416 of the family's 1533-position model. The record is from RNAcentral.